RNAcentral lists this ribosomal RNA (253 nucleotides) under uncultured bacterium. Its description in RNAcentral is "partial 16S ribosomal RNA". It matches the Rfam family "Bacterial small subunit ribosomal RNA", at positions 524 to 776 of the family's 1533-position model. The record is from RNAcentral.
UACGUAGGGUGCGAGCGUUAAUCGGAAUUACUGGGCGUAAAGCGUGCGCAGGCGGUUCGUUGUGUCGGCGGGGAAAGCCCCGGGCUCAACCUGGGAAUGGCCGUUGAAACUGGCGAACUGGAGUGUGGCAGAGGGGGGUGGAAUUCCGCGUGUAGCAGUGAAAUGCGUAGAGAUGCGGAGGAACACCGACGGCGAAGGCAGCCCCCUGGGCUGACACUGACGCUCAGGCACGAAAGCGUGGGGAGCAAACAGG